AUCAAAUCACUUUUAUUGUCACAUCACAUGUGCAGGUACAUUGGUACAGCACAUGUGAGUGAAAUUCUUGUGUGCGAGCUUCACAAGCAACAGCUUCCAAGCAUUUCCACACAGGUCAGUUAAUGCGUCAUUUUCAUAACAUAAUUAGUGAUAUGAAUGUGACAGGUGAGACCUGGAGACUUGGGACCGCCCCUGGUGGGCGGAGCUGGUCUUCGCUCCUUUCAUAAGCGCAGGUGUGGGCAAUUGGGUAUUCCUUUGCAAACCUGAAGCUGCGAGUGCUUGGUCCGAGUUGGGCAAGUUGGUGUUUCUUAACUAUGAAAGUCUGAUACGCGUCCUCCCCUAAACUUCUGUUAGAACGGUGGGAAACAUUGCUCCCGUGAGAACGGUAUAGUGGACUUCAUCGCCACUGACCCACAUUUAUUAGGGUGUGACACGAACUUGUGGACAGAGUACCGAGCUGCUGCUUUGCCAGGUGGAUUUCUGGCUGCGGGCAAAGGACCCGACACAUCAGUGUGUUUUAAUUUGUUUUAAACUGGUGUAAGCCGACAGACUGACUGCUGCGGCUGUCGAUGGUUUUGGGUUUUUGUUUUACUUUUUCUGUAUCAGUAGGCACCACAGAUAUUGAUUCGCAGGCGGUGAAGGCGCUGCAGGGAAAACAAAUCCUUUUUUUGUCUCCCCGCUCUUGCAUGCACAGCGGGGGGCCCGAGUGAAGACGGCACCGAAGAUUUGCCUUUUUUUCUAUAGUGUUUUACCCAUUUGGGGUCAUGUGUGAGUUGCCGUCCAUUUUUAACCUGUGUGCUAUGUCGAUUUGUUUUUAAACUGUUCUCCGCAGCGCUUGUCCUGCCUCACGGGCAAUCGUACAGUCUUAUCGUUUUUUAAUAAGGUAACGUUUUUAAUUGUUUUUAGGUGCUGCUGUUACACUGUUUCUUUUAUUUUGUAUUAAAAAUUAAACUCUUUUAAACUGACUGUGCGCCUACGGCUCUGUCCUAUUUUAAAUAGGUACCUACCACGGGUCACAUAGGUUACAAGCAAGUCUGGCGCUGAACAGAAAUUGUCGCGCUAUGCUCCUUUAUUUAUUGUG
This is a long non-coding RNA of Astatotilapia calliptera (eastern happy), 1081 nucleotides long. Lineage: Eukaryota; Metazoa; Chordata; Actinopteri; Cichliformes; Cichlidae. The record is from Ensembl.